CAGCAGUGGCAGACGGGUGAGUAACACGUGGGAACCUUCCUCGGGGUACGGAACAACUCAGGGAAACUUGAGCUAAUACCGUAUACGUCCGUAAGGAGAAAGAUUCAUCGCCCCGAGACGGGCCCGCGUCGGAUUAGGUAGUUGGUGGGGUAACGGCCUACCAAGCCUACGAUCCGUAGCUGAUCUGAGAGGAUGAUCAGCCACACUGGGACUGAGACACGGCCCAG
This 227-nucleotide ribosomal RNA is filed under the name uncultured bacterium. Its description in RNAcentral is "partial 16S ribosomal RNA". It matches the Rfam family "Bacterial small subunit ribosomal RNA", at positions 90 to 334 of the family's 1533-position model. The record is from RNAcentral.